RNAcentral lists this ribosomal RNA (473 nucleotides) under Actinomyces israelii. RNAcentral's name for it is "bacterial SSU rRNA". It matches the Rfam family "Bacterial small subunit ribosomal RNA", at positions 28 to 482 of the family's 1533-position model. Lineage: Bacteria; Bacillati; Actinomycetota; Actinomycetes; Actinomycetales; Actinomycetaceae. The record is from RNAcentral.
GACGAACGCUGGCGGCGUGCUUAACACAUGCAAGUCGAACGGGUCCGCCUUGUUUUUUGCGGGGUGGGUCAGUGGCGAACGGGUGAGUAACACGUGAGUAACCUGCCCCUCACUUCUGGAUAACCGCUUGAAAGGGUGGCUAAUACGGGGUGUUCUGGCUGUGCCGCAUGGUGUGGCUGGGAAAGAUUCACUUUUGUGGUGUUUUGGUGGGGGAUGGGCUCGCGGCCUAUCAGCUUGUUGGUGGGGUGAUGGCCUGCCAAGGCUUUGACGGGUAGCCGGCCUGAGAGGGUGGGCGGUCACACUGGGACUGAGAUACGGCCCAGACUCCUGCGGGAGGCAGCAGUGGGGGGUAUUGCACAAUGGGCGGAAGCCUGAUGCAGCGACGUCGCGUGAGGGAUGGAGGCCUUCGGGUUGUGAACCUCUUUCGCCGGUGAAGGAGGUCCUGUUCUUUGUGGUGGGGCUGACGUAGCCGG